GCCGAGAUAGCCUAGCCAGGUAAGGCGCGGGACUUGAGAUCCCGUGGAGUUUCUCCUCAUGGGUUCAAAUCCCAUUCUCGGCG
This 83-nucleotide transfer RNA is filed under the name Methanosphaera sp. WGK6. RNAcentral's name for it is "tRNA-Ser". It matches the Rfam family "tRNA". Rfam says of the family: Transfer RNA (tRNA) molecules are approximately 80 nucleotides in length. Their secondary structure includes four short double-helical elements and three loops (D, anti-codon, and T loops). Lineage: Archaea; Methanobacteriati; Methanobacteriota; Methanobacteria; Methanobacteriales; Methanobacteriaceae. The record is from RNAcentral. RNAcentral also lists the same sequence under 1 other name.